RNAcentral lists this ribosomal RNA (464 nucleotides) under Echinoidea sp. RCMBAR976. RNAcentral describes it as "partial 16S ribosomal RNA". It matches the Rfam family "Bacterial large subunit ribosomal RNA", at positions 1993 to 2597 of the family's 2925-position model. The record is from RNAcentral. Lineage: Eukaryota; Metazoa; Echinodermata; Echinoidea.
UGAAUGGCAAGACGGAACCUUACUGUCUCUUUCUCUUUAAUUUGAAUUUCACAAUCCCGUGAAGAGGCGGGAAUUAUCUCGUUAGACGAGAAGACCCUGUCGAGCUGAAGUAAAGUCUUAACCUUUACUCACCCUUAACCCUACCUAAUAAAAUAAACUUAGUAGAAUAAUAAAGGCGUAAAAGAUUAAAACUCACUUUGAUUGGGGCAAUCGCGGAGAAAGAAAAUCCUCCGUUACUAACUGUUUAUUAUAUAACUUAGAUUAAAGAGCUAUAACUCUAAAAUCGUGAAGCGAAGGAAUGAUCCACUCAUAGUGAUCAAAAGAACAAGUUACCGCAGGGAUAACAGCGUUAUCUUUUCUGAGAGUUCAUAUUGACGAAAAGGUUUGCGACCUCGAUGUUGGAUCGGGACAUCCUAAGGGUGCAGAAGCUUUUAAGGGUUGGUCUGUUCGACCAUUAAAGUCCU